Calypte anna (Anna's hummingbird) is the source of this 373-nucleotide long non-coding RNA. RefSeq lists it as uncharacterized. Lineage: Eukaryota; Metazoa; Chordata; Aves; Apodiformes; Trochilidae. The transcript has 2 exons. The record is from RefSeq and is a predicted model, not a curated record.
UACUGAUUUUGGGUAGAACAAAGGAAAGACUCCUGCUUUCCACUGAGAAGAUAUGAAACUGCUUCUUGACCAUGAAAAGGAGACAGAAUUCAUGAUCUCCUCAGGCUAGCUAAUAGCCCUGUUAGCAAAUAACAAGCUAGAUUUAUAUUCAUAUACUGUGGUUACUGUACAGAGUUUUGCAUUCUUGCAGAGAAGACUUUUGGGUUUUACCUUUACUUCAUUUCUCCCUUCCAAAGAAGAGGGAUGACAAACAGGCAGCAAGUCUCCUUUGUGCUCCUGUCUUAAACAACAUUAUUCAUCUUCCUGACCUUACAUGUGAAGCAAAUGGCAUAUCCUCUGGUGUGACUCUUGACUUCAUGACCGUGCCUUGGAG